ACUUAACCGAGGAGUCCCAUAAUAGGACGAAACGGCCGUCCAGU
This 44-nucleotide non-coding RNA is filed under the name Schistosoma mansoni. The record is from RNAcentral. Lineage: Eukaryota; Metazoa; Platyhelminthes; Trematoda; Strigeidida; Schistosomatidae.